UCGAAGGAUCAAUUGCAUGCAGAUGGAAAUGAGAAUCGAGUGCAAGUUAUUCAAGGAGUAAAUGAUACAACAGCAAGGAGAUUGCAGUUUUCAGAAGUUAUGGAUCCAAAAAAUGCAGUACCAGAGGUUGUUGAAGCUGUUGACACAGAAAACCCAAAACCUACAAUGGCGGAAGUAGUCAGAGGCAACAGAGAUGUGCAAAUGGGUAAGCCUUUAUCAUUUGUUCCUCCUACUUUGA
Molecule: long non-coding RNA, 238 nt
Filed under: Nicotiana benthamiana
Lineage: Eukaryota; Viridiplantae; Streptophyta; Magnoliopsida; Solanales; Solanaceae
Description: long non-coding RNA (NBEN_LNC026160)
Source: RNAcentral